Biomphalaria pfeifferi is the source of this 347-nucleotide non-coding RNA. The record is from the annotation of a GenBank genome assembly. Lineage: Eukaryota; Metazoa; Mollusca; Gastropoda; Planorbidae.
AUUUUUAAAACAAUGUUUAAAUGUAGAUAGACUAAACUUCACUUGUAUUUUUUUAUAUCCAACAUUGUUUGUUACAGUUUGUGAUAUUUUUGUUACAAUUUUAUUGAUCCCAUCAACUUGGAGGCCAUCUUACUUUUGAAAUGAAUAAUUUGUUGGCAGUAGUUCUGCAAGUGUGUCUGUACACCAAAUACCUGGUCCUUUAUUUUGCGUCCAUUUAUCAUUUAGAUGAUGAUGGUUUAGAUUUGUUAAGUUAAAUAAUAAAAACAAAUGUGAGAUUUUUUAAACUUAAAGAGUAUUCAGAGAUAGAAGAUUGAACCUAACCUUUAACAAUAUUGGGGGGGGGGGGG